CUACGGGAGGCUGCAGUGGGGGAUAUUGCACAAUGGGGGAAACCCUGAUGCAGCAACGCCGCGUGAAGGAAGACGGAUUUCGGUCUGUAAACUUCUAUCAGCUGGGAAGAAAAUGACGGUACCAGACUAAGAAGCCCCGGCUAACUACGUGCCAGCAGCCGCGGUAAUACGUAGGGGGCAAGCGUUAUCCGGAUUUACUGGGUGUAAAGGGUACGUAGGCGGUUAUUUAAGUCAGAUGUGAAAGCCCGGAGCUCAACUCCGGAACUGCAUUUGAAACUGGGUAACUAGAGUACAGGAGAGGAAAGCGGAAUUCCUAGUGUAGCGGUGAAAUGCGUAGAUAUUAGGAAGAACACCAGUGGCGAAGGCGGCUUUCUGGACUGUAACUGACGCUGAGGUACGAAAGCGUGGGGAGCGAACAGGAUUAGAUACCCUGGUAGUC
RNAcentral lists this ribosomal RNA (439 nucleotides) under uncultured bacterium. RNAcentral describes it as "partial 16S ribosomal RNA". It matches the Rfam family "Bacterial small subunit ribosomal RNA", at positions 339 to 795 of the family's 1533-position model. The record is from RNAcentral.